This 460-nucleotide ribosomal RNA is filed under the name Acidobacteriota bacterium. Its description in RNAcentral is "Acidobacteria bacterium partial 23S ribosomal RNA". It matches the Rfam family "Bacterial large subunit ribosomal RNA", at positions 2474 to 2925 of the family's 2925-position model. The record is from RNAcentral. Lineage: Bacteria; Pseudomonadati; Acidobacteriota.
AUAACAGGCUUAUCGCGCCCAAGAGUUCAUAUCGACGGCGCGGUUUGGCACCUCGAUGUCGGCUCAUCGCAUCCCGGAGCUGUAGCAGGUUCCAAGGGUUGGGCUGUUCGCCCAUUAAAGCGGUACGUGAGCUGGGUUUAGAACGUCGUGAGACAGUUCGGUCCCUAUCUGUCGUGGGCGCAGGAGAUUUGAGGAGAGCUGGCCUUAGUACGAGAGGACCGGGCUGGACGAACCUCUGGUUUACGAGCUGUUCCGCCAGGAGCAUCGCUCGGUAGUUACGUUCGGAAGGGAUAAGCGCUGAAAGCAUAUAAGCGCGAAGCCCACUCCAAGAUGAGAUCUCCCGGACCAUAAGGUCCCUAAAGGCCCCUGGAAGACUACCAGGUUGAUAGGCCCGGUGUGUAAGGCGAGUUAAUCGCUUCAGCUAACGGGUACUAAUCGGCCGUGAGGCUUGACCAUAAAA